Molecule: RNA transcript, 6347 nt
Organism: Zalophus californianus (California sea lion)
Lineage: Eukaryota; Metazoa; Chordata; Mammalia; Carnivora; Otariidae
Gene name: 17-beta-hydroxysteroid dehydrogenase 13
Exons: 13
Source: RefSeq, a predicted model, not a curated record
GGGAGAAGGAGAAGCAGGCUUCCCGCGGAGCAGGGAGCCCGAUGCGGGGCUCGAUCCCAGGAUCUGGGAUCAUAACCUGAGCCAAAGGCAGAUGCUUAACAACUGAGCCACCCAGGCAGCCCUAAUUCUGUCUUAUUUAAAGACUAUUCACUAUAGAUGUUAACUACAAAAUACCUUCACAGCAAUACCUAGAUUAGUGUUUGAAAAGUUGAAAACUAUAACUUAGCCACGUUGACCUGUCAAACUCACACUACCCUCACACUCUUUUCAAUUCACUCCAGCCAUACCAGUCCCCUUGAUGAUCCUCAACCCACCAGACAUGUUCCUGUCUGAAGACUUUUGUACCUUACUGUUUGCUCUCCAGAAUGCUCUUCUACAGACAGCCACAUGGCUACCUCUAUCUUCCCUUUAAGUCUUUUUCCUUAGGUCUUUUCAGAACUUCUCACUCCAUAUCUAAAAUUGCAACCCUGCCUACACAGCCAUGCCCUAUAAGAUUCCACUUCUCCCUCUGUCCUCUAUUUUUCUCCUAAUCCUUACUAUUGUGAAGCAUACUAUAUAUUUUGCUUAUUUAUCUUCCUUAUUGUCUACAUUGCCCCUAGAGCAAAGAUUAAAUAAACAGUGGGUUAUAGUAAUGUACAUCAAUCCUAUAACUUUAUCAUUUCAUGGUCUCCAAAGAAAGAGUGGUAUUUCCUGAUAACCAGGGUUCCACCCUCUGUCCCUGUGUAUUUGACUAAUUUCGGUCAUUUAAUCGGAGUCAUGCAAUGUUUGUCCUUUUGUGGCCCUAAUUUCACCUAGCACAAUGUUUGUAUGGUUCAUGCGUGUUGUAGCAUGAAGGCCUGUGGCAUUUGUCAUGUUGCAGGACUUAAUACCUGAAUGAGGGGAGCCUGGGUGGCUCAGUCGUUAAGCAUCUACCUUCGGCUCAGGUCAUGAUCCCAGGGUCCUGGGAUUGAGCCCCACUGUCGGGCUCCCUGCUCAGUGCGGAGCUUGCUUUUCUCUGUCCCUCUGCCCCUCCCCCCUGCUUGUGCACUCUCUCUCUCUCUCUCUCUCUCUCGUAAAUAAAUAAAAUCUUUAAAAAAAAAAAGAAACUACGUUUAGGAGCCUCAAGAAGUUUACAAGAUAUUUAAGACUACCUAAUACUGCUUUAUCAGUUUGGCAGUACACAGAACCUUUGACAAUGUUCUAAUGAACUCUCCAGAAAGGAGGGGAAAUGUAUUUAUUUGAAGAGAUUAUAUUCCUCAACUUGUACUUGGCAGAUUACUAUAGCUAGAUUAAACAAACAGUGGGUUAUAGUAAUGUACAUAAAUCCUAUAACUUUAUCAUUUCAUGGUGUCCAAAGAAAGAGUGGUAUUUCCUGAUAACCAGGGUUCUACUCUCUGUCCCUGUGUAUUUGACUAAUUUAGGCCAUUUAAGUGGAGUCAUGCAAUUUUGUCCUUUUGUGGCCCUAAUUUUACCUAGCAUAAUGUUUGUAUGGUUCAUGCGUGUUGUAGCAUUUAUCAGAAUUGCAGUCAUUGAAAAAAAGGAAUAAUAUGGCCUUGUAUGUAUAUAUUACAUUUUGUGUAUCCAUUCAUCUGUUCAUGGGACACUUGAGUUGUUUCUCCUUUGGAGGUGUUGGAAGUCGCACCACUUCUAUUGCUUCUCGGCCCUUUGGCUAAGAUUAAGUGGAAAUCGCACCACUUUUAAGUGGAGACUUGGCUCCUGAUCUAAUGCUCAUUCCCAUAGUAUCAGAGGGAAUUGAUUGCUUUAUAUAACCUCCAGUCUCUUCCACACUUAAGAGGUUUUCAGGGAAAUGGGCAUCUCCUGUAAAAUAAUUAGUUCACUGAAAUAUUGAUGCUGAGCUUUCAUGAAUAAAUGAAUCACACUAAGGUUGGUUGGUCCAUACUUUAAAUCUCCUGAAGAAAAUAUCUCUUUCUCCUUUUCCUCAGUUAAACACACACACACACACACAGUGGUUUACAGGGAGAUACCAAGAGACUACCAAAAGCUGAUGUACUCUCUCUAGAAUUAUUUCUAGAGGUGAAACUUCACUGUGCAACACAGCACAGAACUGCUUCUCAGUAAGGAAGCCCACAGAGCACUUUCUCCAGGAUUCCAUUGUCCCUGUGCCAAGCUUGGGGUAGCAAUUGCAUCACUUCCAAACUCAGGUGUUUCCAACCUACUAGAACACGUGGACAAAGCCUGAGGCAAAUCUGGCUUCUGCCAGUCCCGUCCACACUUGGAGCGCAGCUCUUUCCAGGAUCUCUGCGCAGAGGGUGGCUGGCAUUAGACAAGGCCUGAGCCAGAGGAGAAGAGUACAGAGCAGAGCCAUGAAUAUCAUCUUGGGUCUCCUCCUGCUUCUGCUCACCAUCAUCUACUCCUACUUGGAGGCACUGGUGAAGGUUUUCUUUCCCCGAAGGAGAAAAUCUGUGGCUGGGGAGGUUGUUCUCAUUACAGGAGCCGGGCAUGGAAUAGGCAGGUGGACUGCCUAUGAAUUUGCAAAACGGAAGAGCCGACUGGUUCUGUGGGAUAUUAAUAAGCGCGGUGUUGAGGAAACGGCAGCCGAAUGCAGGCAACUGGGGGCCACUGCGCACGCGUAUGUGGUGGACUGCGGUAACCGAGAAGACAUUUAUAACUCUGUAAAGCAAGUAAAGAAAGAAGUGGGAGAUGUAACCAUCCUGGUGAAUAAUGCUGGGACAAUAUAUCCAGCUGACCUUCUUAGUACCAAGGACGAAGAGAUUACCAAAACUUUUGAGGUCAACAUCCUAGGACACUUUUGGAUCACAAAAGCACUUCUUCCGUCCAUGAUGAAGAGAAAUCAUGGCCACAUUGUCACAGUGGCUUCAGUGUGUGGCCAUGGAGUGAUUCCUUAUCUUAUUCCAUAUUGUUCCAGCAAAUUUGCUGCUGUCGGCUUCCACAGAGCUCUGACAUUAGAACUUGAAACCUUGGGGAAAACCGGAAUCAAAACCUCGUGUCUCUGCCCAGUUUUUGUGAAUACUGGGUUCACCAAAAACCCAAGCACAAGACUGUGGCCUCUUUUGGAGACAGAUGCAGUUGCAAGAAGCUUGAUAGAUGGAAUACUUACCAAUAAGAAGAUGAUUUUUGUCCCAUCAUAUUUCAAUAUCUAUAUAAUACUAGACAAACUGAAUGCCAGGAAAUCCCCCUUUCAGUUAAAGGAUGUGUUGGAAAACAAGUUGCUCUUUGGAAGGACCUGAAGAUGAAUCUGAGGGAGACGAGGUAGACCAGACACCCGGAGGGCUCCCGGAAUCUUGGAAAUCUGGUUCAGGUACUCACCGAAUUUGAAGAAAGAACAAAGGAAAAAGUCAUCCGUGAAAAUAAGUCCUGGUCCGUUACCCUAGAACAAAGAGAAAUCAGUGCGUUGAAGCAGAAAAAUCAAAUUUACCAGAAUUCCCUUCAGGGAGAGGGCUGUAUUUGUGCGGAAGACGAGCCUUGUCGCAUCUGUGUAUGUUGGAAGCUCAGAAAUGGAGAGCAUCUGAAUGUGGGUAAAUGCCCUUUGUAGGACAAGGGGAUGGAUUGUGUGGUAGUUUCAGAGAAGGAGGAGCAAGACACAGGGGUGGAAGGAGGAUGAAGAAAGCCCACGAUGUGACAUCUCUUGAAGACUGCCACUGCCAUUCUUCAUGCAGAUCUCCUGGAAAAAAUCAUGGAAGGCUUGAGCUUAUCCAGGCUGCUUUGAACAAAGGUGAAACACCCAGUUUGAUCUCAGUUGGAAUCAUCAUUUUAGAACCAGGCGGUGGUUCUGGCAGUGUUCUGGAAAACAUGAUCCUCGACAGGCACGAAAGUUCUUCAGAAGUUGCAGUCUGCAGCCAGAGCCCCUGGCCUUCAUUUUCACUCACAGGUGGCUGGGACCAGCAGAGGGGUCAGGGAUCCCCCCGGGUUUGGAGCACAGCCUGGAAGGGCAGGUGUGUAAUCACUCUGGAGGUAAGGAGGGCCUGCUCAUCUACCUCCUGACGGGAAUUUAGGACCCUCAGCCCUGAGUCCUAACUUUACAUAAGAUACAUUUGGAAGUGAGGAGUCCUUGGACCUGAGGAGGAGAGAACCUGGGUCCCCACACCCUCUCACCUGGGCCGAUCCCUUUCCUUCUUUGGGUCCUGGUGUUUUUGAGCUGUAAGGUAAGAGUUUAGGGCUUGAACCCUAAGUCUGGUUCUCAGAAUUCCUAAAGCCUCCACCAUACAUCUGAAAGGAGGAGCAACAAACUGACUUUCUGUUCCUUCACCUAUUUGCGGUUCUAAAUUAUGCAAGUAACACUGUGAGCAUUUGAAUAGAGCCUCUUCCUAAGACUAAGGGCUGAGUGGGAACGACCCAUUUCCUACCCCAGGGCCUGGUCUAUUUCAGUCCGGCGUGGGAGAAUCUUUCUGCUAAGGGACUGAGCAGAGUAUCAGGUUGGAGGGUAGACGCUUUAGAUCCGGUAGACAAACUAUGACCUACAGGCCAACUCUGGCCCACGUAAGUGGUUUUUACAUUUUUUAAUGAUUGAGAAAAAAUGAAAAGGAUACUAUUUUGUGACAUGUGAAAAUGAUAUGAAACUGAAAUUUCAGUAUCCAUAAAUGAAGUCUUUUGUGGAACACACACACGCAAAGAGGUUAAGUAACUUGUUCAGUGUGGCACAGCCAAUGGAUGUGGAGCCUGGACUUGAAGCCAAAUUUCUCCCACUCUGAAGAUCAUUGUUUUGUCUACAACCCUACAUCAUUCUGUGUCAUUUUCCAAGAUGGAUUAUUUCCUUACAAGAAUAUUCAAAGAAAGAGCUUGGGGAACAGCAGAAGCCAGGAGCUUCUUUACAAAUAAAAUUCUUCCUCUGAAAAUGGUGUCGGACAUGUUACCCGAAACUGGAUUCACCUUUUGUGGAAGAGCCAAAAGCCACAAGCAAGCCGAAGACUAGGAAAGGGAAGGCUAUAGUUGAAACAAGGAGAACAUUGGGGAUAUUUCCUAAAAACAGUGUCUCCUUGAACAACACAACUGGUGUCAUUCUCCUUCUAGCUACCAUGUGGACAAUAGAUCAUAGGGGGCAAGAGUGGAAACAGGCGGAGUCCUUGCCAUCGCCAGCGUUUAGACACUUCCCUUAAUCUUGUGUCCCUCCACUAUGACUUCACAUGAAGAUUUUCCUGUUUUCGAGAUUAUCAGUGACUACACUGGAUGUGGACAUUUCCUACCAAACAGCUCUCUUUGGGCUAAGAGACAACUUUCUUUCCGGGAUUCUUGAUAAUGAACACGAGUGAAUGUACAGCAGAUUAAUCUUGGCAUGGUCAAGAAUCAGCGCUCACUCGCUCUGAAGUGCUCCCCUCUGUGCAGAGACAAAGUGGACCUCGGCCAGACUCGCCAGCAUGAACUGAACCCCACUGUUCACAGCGGCUUGUAGCACAAGCCUCCCUGAGUCUGCUUCAGUUGGCAACAUUAAAAGAAACUCGGCCCUUGUUAAUUAUCAGGGCUAAACGCCCAUCCGUUUUUUCCAGCUUCCACUUCGAAAUAAAAUCAGUAUUUCUAAUUCUCAAAGAUUUAAUAAAACACACCUUUCAAAGAGAAUUAAUAUGGAAACUUUGGGGUUUGCAUGCUGCCAAUCACAUCUGAAAUGUAAGUGCCAGGAAAGGGCCUUUCCUAUACCCAGAUAAUUAAUAAUAAAUUGUUUUAUUCUUCUCUUUAGAAAGAUUAAAUUUCCCAAUGUCCUUGGGAAAUUUAAUUUCCUAAUUUUUGUCACCAUGAAUUAUUUUUUAUAAAGUUAUUUCCUGUUUACCAGUUCCUUUGGAACUCUGUGGCAUAAUCACAUUGACAAGCCAAAUAGAUGUACUGGCUGAAGGGACUUUCAUGUCACAUUGCUUGGGUUUGAAUCCCAGCUCUGUCUCUUUCUUAAUUGUGUAACCUUAGGCAAGAUGCUUAACCUCUUCAGGUUUUCUCCUUUAAAAACUGGAGAUAGUAAUAAAAAUAUGUCAUAGGCUUGUAAUGAGGACGCAACUGAGUUAAUCUCUUUAAUGGAUUUUGAACACUAACAGUAGUGCUAUCAAGUAUUAGGUAUUGUUAUUAGCUGCCUCCAAAGUUUUAAAAUGUUUUUGAGGCUAUAAUUCCUUCUUUCUUUCCUUCUUUUUGAGUUUAAUUUUUUAAGUACAUAAUUAAAUGGUUUUAGAUAUAUUCACAAAGCCAUACAACCAUCGCCACUGUGUAAUUCGAGAGCAUUUUCAUCACUGCACAGAGAUUCCUACAUGCUACUCCCCACCCUCUGGCGACCACUCAUUUACCUUUGGUCUCUAUAUUUGCCUGUUAUGGACAUUAUAUAUAAAUGGAAUCAUAGAAUACAUGGCCCUUUGUGUCUGAUUUCUUUUACUUACCAUAGUAUUUUCAAGGUUCAUCCAUGUUGUAGCAUGUAU